Non-coding RNA from Pelobates cultripes (western spadefoot toad), 274 nucleotides. NCBI's taxonomy places the organism in Eukaryota, Metazoa, Chordata, Amphibia, Anura, Pelobatidae. The record is from the annotation of a GenBank genome assembly.
GUGAGGGAGGGUGUGACUAGUGACAGUUAGGCAGGGAAGGGGUGACUAGUGACAGAGGGAGGGGUGACUAGGGACAGAGUGAGGGAGGUGGUGACUAGUGACAGUCACCACCUCCCUCACUCUGUCACUAGUCUCCCUCACUCUGUCACUAGUCCUUCCCUCUGUCACUAGUCACCCACUCCCGCACUCUCUAGUGACAGUCACCACCUCCCUCACUCUGUCACUAGUCACCACCUCCCUCACUCUGUCACUAGUCACCACCUCCCUCCGUCAC